UGAAUACGAGAUGCUACGGCGUCGAAGCAGUGUAUGUCAGACUUCCAAGAAAAGCUCGCAAUGUCAUAAAUAAAGAAUGCCUGUACCAUAACCGACACAGGUGGGUAGGUAGAGUAUACUAAGGGGCGCGAGAUAACUCUCUCUAAGGAACUCGGCAAAAUAACUCCGUAACUUCGGGAGAAGGAGUGCCUUCUUUAAGAAGGUUGCAAUAACAAGAUCCAAGCAACUGUUUAUCAAAAACACAGGUCUCCGCUAAGUCGUAAGACGAUGUAUUGGGGCUGACGCCUGCCCAGUGCCAGAAGGUUAAAGAAGUUGGUUAGCUUUUGCGAAGCUGAUGACUGAAGCCCUGGUGAACGGCGGCCGUAACAAUAACGGUCCUAAGGUAGCGAAAUUCCUUGUCGGGUAAGUUCCGACCCGCACGAAAGGCGUAAUGAUUUGGAUACUGUCUCGGAGAGGGACUCGGUGAAAUAGACUUGUCUGUGAAGAUGCGGACUACCUGCACCAGGACAGAAAGACCCUAUGAAGCUUUACUGUAACUUGAAAUUGAAAUUGGACUUUAUUUGCGCAGUAUAGGUGGAAGGCGUUGAAAGUAAUCUUGCGGGAUUAGUGGAGCCAUCAGUGAGAUACCACUCCUAUAAUGUUAGAUUUCUAACUUUGGAUCAUGAUCUGGUCAAAGAACAGUUUCAGGCGGGCAGUUUGACUGGGGCGGUCGCCUCCCAAAUGGUAACGGAGGCGUACAAAGGUUUCCUCUGAACGGGUAGAAAUCGUAUCUAGAGUGUAAAGGCAUAAGGAAGCUUGACUGUGAGACCUACAAGUCGAGCAGGGACGAAAGUCGGUCUUAGUGAUCUGACGGUGCUGAGUGGAAAGGCCGUCACUCAACGGAUAAAAGUUACUCUAGGAUAACAGGCUGAUCUCCCCCAAGAGUUCACAUCGACGGGGAGGUUUGGCACCUCGAUGUCGGCUCAUCGCAUCCUGGGGCGGUAGUACGUCCCAAGGGUUGGGCUGUUCGCCCAUGAAAGCGGUACGCGAGCUGGGUUCAGAACGUCGUGAGACAGUUCGGUCCAUAUCCGGUGUAGGCGUUAGAAUAUUGAGAGGAGCCUUCUUUAGUACGAGAGGACCGAGAAGGACAUACCUCUGGUGUACCAGUUAUCGUGCCAACGGUAAACGCUGGGUAGCUAUGUAUGGAGAGGAUAACCGCUGAAAGCAUCUAAGUGGGAAGCCCACCUCAAGAUGAGUAUUCUCAC
Molecule: ribosomal RNA, 1244 nt
Filed under: metagenome
Description: bacterial LSU rRNA
Rfam family: Bacterial large subunit ribosomal RNA
Source: RNAcentral